Molecule: ribosomal RNA, 405 nt
Filed under: uncultured bacterium
Lineage: Bacteria
Description: partial 16S ribosomal RNA
Rfam family: Bacterial small subunit ribosomal RNA
Source: RNAcentral
AUUGAACGCUGGCGGCAGGCCUAACACAUGCAAGUCGAGCGAGCGGCGGACGGGUGAGUAAUGUCUGGGAAACUGCCUGAUGGAGGGGGAUAACUACUGGAAACGGUAGCUAUACCGCAUACCCUCAGAUUUGCCCAGAUAGGAUUAGCUAGUAGGUGGGGUAACGGCUCACCUAGGCGACGAUCCCUAGCUGGUCUUGGAGGAUGACCAGCCAAACUGGAACUGUGACACGGUCCAGACUCCUACGGGAGGCAGCAGUGGGGAAUAUUGCACAAGGGGCGCAAGCCUGAUGCAGCCAUGCCGCGUGUAUGAAGAAGGCCUUCGGGUUGUAAAGUACUUUCAGCGGGGAGGCGUUACCCGCAGAAGAAGCACCGGCUAACUCCGUGCCAGCCGCCGCGGUAAUAC